CUAGUUGGGUGUAACCCCUAAUAGAUUAUAAUGAGGGUAUAUAAGCAAGCGUAUCAUUCAGCACGAUUUGCGGGAAAGUAGUCAUCCAUAUUGGUUGAAGCAGUUGUUCUUCACUUUUAUUCUGUUUUCUAUAAAGUCAUAGCACUGGGCAUCAUCUGCAGUCAAGACUGGGGUCAUAAGCUGUCAUAGGAGGUCAAUCCACAAUUGGGCUUUGACAACUUUGCGACGCCUUUUUGAUUUCUCUGAGACGCUUUAAAUAAGCUGUUUAUCAUAGUUAUUUCCAGAGAUUGUAUUACAAUUAUGUAAUCAUUAAAAGUUAUAGUGUUGAGGGAAAACUAAAUUAAAUGGACAUGUAAUGAACCCAGCUUGUGUGUUGUCUGUAUAUAUUCAUUUUUAGCUCAUCUAUUUUUUGAAAAAAAAUUAUGAGCUAUUGUCAUCACCUUGGCGUCGGCGUUGGCGUUGGCGUUGGCGUUGGCGUUGGCGUUGGCGUCGGCGUCCGGUUAAGUUUUGCGUUUAGGUCCACUUUUCUCAGAAAGUAUCAAUGCUAUUGCAUUCAAACUUGGUACACUUACUUACUAUCAUGAGGGGACUAGGCAGGCAAAGUUAGAUAACUCUGGCGUGCAUUUUGACAGAAUUAUGUGCCCUUUUUGUACUUAAAAAAUUGCAAAUUUUGGUUAAGUUUUGCGUUUAGUUCCACUUUUCUCAGUAAGUAUCAAUGCUAUUGCAUUCAAACUUGGUACACUUACUUACUAUCAUGAGGGGACUGGGCAGGCAAAGUUAGAUAACUCUGGCAUGCAUUUUGACAGAAUUAUGUGCCCUUUUUAUACUUAGAAAAUUGACAAUUUUGGUUAAGUUUUGUGUUUAGGUCCAUUUUAUUCCUUAAGCAUCAAAGCUAUUGCUUUCAUACUUGCAACACUUACUAACUAUCAUAAGGGGACUGUGCAGGCAAAGUAAUGUAACUCUGACUGGCAUUUUGACAGAAUUAUGUGCCCUUUUUAUACUUAGAAAAUUGAAAAUUUGAUUAAGUUUUGUGUUUAGGUCCACUUUAUUCCUACAGUAUCAAAGCUAUUGCUUUCAUACUUGCAAGAUUUAUGAACUAUCAUAAGGGGACGGUGCAGGCAAAGUUAUGUAACUCUGACUGGCAUUUGGACGGAAUUAUGGGCCCUUUAUACUUAGAAAAUUGAAAAUUUGGUUAAGAUUUAUGUUUUGGUCACUUUACCCCUAAAGUAUCAUAGAUAUUGCUUUCAUACUUGGAACACUCACAAACUAUCAUAAGGGUACAGUAAAAGGACAAGUUGCAUAACUCUGGUUGUCAUUGUUACGGAAUUAUGGCCCUUUUUUGACUUAGUAACUUUUAAUAUAUGGUUAAAUUUUGUGUUUCGAUCCACUCGAAGUAUCAAGGCUAUUGCUUUCAAACUUCAAAUACUUACAUGCUAUCAUGAGGUUACUGUACCUGGCAACUUGAAUUUUACUUUGACCUUUGAAUGACCUUGACUCUCAAGGUCAAAUUAUUAAAUUUUGCUAAA
Long non-coding RNA from Dreissena polymorpha, 1526 nucleotides. RefSeq lists it as uncharacterized. The transcript has 3 exons. The record is from RefSeq and is a predicted model, not a curated record. NCBI's taxonomy places the organism in Eukaryota, Metazoa, Mollusca, Bivalvia, Myida, Dreissenidae.